GAAAUCUCGGGCAUUCACCGUUUGGGUGAAGACGGAGGCGGGUUCUGGACAGACGUAGGCUGUCAGGGAGUGUUUACUUCGCCUCCACUUCUGUUCCUCCCUGCCCUGGUGCUGCUCCAGGUCACAUACUCGUCCUGAGCCGGCUUCAGCCUGUCCGCGCAGAAGUCUCCCGGAGCCAUGGCCUAGUACUCUUAUGUGAAGUCUAGCAAGCUCGUGCUCAAGGGAACCGAGGUGAAGAGCUGGGUCCUGCAGCUCUGGUGGGAGCCUCCUCAGUUCUUUUCGGAUGCACUCCACCCCCGCGAAUCCGGUGGAAGCCGUGGUGCAGAGAGCCGGCUUUGUGGCCUCCCAGGCUUCGCUCUGACCCUGUCUGGGCUGGACGGAGGCCGGACCGCGGUUCCUGGCGCCUGUGCAGAGAGGGGCAGCCUCCCGUGCUGACGACCCUGGAAACAGGAUAGACGGGCGGGUGACCCGUGGCCCCGUACCCACGAGUUUGGGUCCCCUGAGGCAUCUCUCCAGGCCUCUGCCUGUUCCUCCUGGCCUCCGUGAUAAACAGGGGUUUUGAUAUUGUUAGGCGAGAUGGAAAGAAAGUAUCAAGGAGUGAGCUGAAGCCACUGCCCUUGAGAACCCUCUCGAGGAGUCUGGCCUCAUGAAGAUGCCAGAAUAAGUGGCAGAGCUAAGAAGUGACAGAAUCAGGAUUUAAAAUCUGGCAGUGUGGCUCUACAAUCUGCUUUGAACUUUAACAUAAUAUGUACAAAGCCUGAAGCAAAUUCUCAGUACUGUAAGAAGAAAAAGAGCAAAGAUAAGAAGAGAAAAAGAGAAGAUGAAGAAACCCAGCUUGAUACGUUGGAAUCUGGUGAACAGUAACAAACUUUGGUGAAAUUUCAGGAACCAUAGCCAUUGAAAUGGAUGAGGGAACCUAUAUACAUGCACUCGACAAUGGUCUUUUUACCCUGGGAGCUCCACACAAAGAAGUCCAGAGCAGUUUAUGGCUGUCAAAUUAUCUGAUUCCAGAAUCGCCCUGAAAUCUGGCUAUGGAAAAUAUCUUGGUAUAAAUUCAGAUGAACUUGUUGGGCAUUCAGAUGCAAUUGGACCAAGAGAACAAUGGGAACCAGUCUUUCAAAAUGGGAAAAUGGCUUUGUUGGCCUCAUUAGAUCCUGUGCUGAAAAAGAAACCAAGAAAAAAGAUGACAUUCCAGAAGAAGACAAAGGAAAUGUAAAACAAUGUGAAAUCAAUUAUGUAAAGAAAUUUCAGAGCUUCCAAGACCACAAACUUAAAAUAAGUAAAGAAGAGAGUAAAAUUCUUAAAAAGGCUCAGAAAGAUGGAUUUUUGCAUGAGACGCUUCUGGACAGGUAGAACCAAAUUGAAAGCCGACAGAUACUGCAAAUGACUGGAAUUUUUGUUUCUGCCUUAUCUUUUUGUGUUUUUUUUUUCUGAGUCUCAGUCAUAGCCUGCCUUCAUCUCUGAAGGGACCAGGCGACCCAUGGAGUGCCUCGGCAGCCUCGUCAUUGCAUGCAAUCUUCACAGACAAGAUCUCACUGCAACCACGUUUCUACAGGAGCACAGGUGUGACAUUAUACUGAUGACAUCAUUCUCAGAGAAAAUUCAUUUUACAUACUAAGGACACACAGAUACAAGCCUCUCCUCAACACAGUAGUGCAAGGCCCUGCCACUUUGCUUCAAUUCCUGAAAAUUCCUUGGUAAACUUGGGGCUGCUCUAUUCCUGACACUUUCAAAAAACAGUUAUUCAUCCUCUCAGCAUCCACAAUGUUAAUACAAACCCAACAUUCUUCAAUUUGUGUUUUGUUUUUUGG
This 1811-nucleotide long non-coding RNA is filed under the name Homo sapiens (human). Its description in RNAcentral is "non-protein coding lnc-DEFB115-5:2". The record is from RNAcentral. Lineage: Eukaryota; Metazoa; Chordata; Mammalia; Primates; Hominidae.